CUCCCCCUAGUCUAGUGCACUAGCUCAUUUCAUCCUCUCCAACUAUUCUCUUACCCUCAGAAACACUGCUCACGGCCUCCCAGAUCUGGUAUCGAAGUGUAGAUACGUCGGCUAUGUCUCUCCGGCCAGCUCAAUCAACUGCGACGGUCCGGCGUCAUGGAGCCACCGGAUCCACCAAAGAAAACGAAUCUCCCAUGUGAGGAGAUUGACACCCAUGGAAACUGCAAAAAAGCAAGGUCUGUCCGACGUCGGUGGGAAGAAGGAGAUGAAAACGGGGCUCAGCUAGACCUAGAUACUACUGCAGGAGGGGGAACGCAGCUCACUAGAUCCAAUGCCUCGACGAGGCCAUAUGAUCACUUCGAUCCACGGGAGGAUAGAUGGAUUGAUGUAGUUGGAGAACCUGGAGGCAUCCUGCAAAAUACAGAAGCGCAACUGGACGCGCUACGAGCAGCUCAGGGGCUAAUUGCAGCUAGCCAACAAUUUCGCACUGCGUCAUUAUAGAGGUCUGGAGAUGAAGCCUAUGUCGACGAAUCAGAAAAAAGCACGCCCGUAUACAACGCGGAUUCAAAAGGAAAAAAAGGUAGUACAAGAAAAUCCAGAUUCGUCGAGUAGCGACAGCGAUGAUGAGCCGGUGGAUCCAAGUGUGCGACUGGAUAGGACACUAAACAGGGCUGAGAUUAGAGGCGAGCCCAUAGCAGCGCCGGCAGCCCCAGGAAGACUGAGGAUAUAUAAUGAUGUUGUAGGCGCGCGUGUUACAGGACCAAGGAGCCUUGGCCGACUUAGGAGGAGGCUCGAGCUAAGAGUGAGCGAUGACGGUGAAGCUGGCAGUAGCAACCCUUUUGCGAGGCUUCAUAAUACAGAGAGGUCAACUUGGCUACGGAGAAGAGGGGAGCAUUUGUGAGCGAAACUGUCUGAAAUUGAGGCGCAAGGAAGUCUGAUCUUGAAUACGCGAGGGAACAUGGGGUCUUGCGGAACAGGAAUGUGCAUGGAAACGAUGUUGGAGAGGACACGUCAAAUAGCUCAAUUUCAGAGGAAUGGAGGGAAUGUGUGCGGAGCUUAUCUACGGUUGCGCUAGCUGCGGUAGAACAAGCAAUGGAAAAACCAGAACUUUUUGAAGGUGCCCGUGUUCGACAUGUCGAUGCUAGCUGCAACUUUGUUAGACAAAAUAGAAGGUAGUUGAGGGAGUCCUGGAUUAGGCGGUGUUCGGAUAGCCGAACUAUAUCUUCAGUCGGACUCCUGGACUAUGAAGAUACAAGAUUGAAGACUCCGUCCCGUGUCCGGAAGGGAUUUUCU
Molecule: long non-coding RNA, 1293 nt
Organism: Triticum aestivum (bread wheat)
Lineage: Eukaryota; Viridiplantae; Streptophyta; Magnoliopsida; Poales; Poaceae
Exons: 7
Source: RefSeq, a predicted model, not a curated record